CACACACUGGAAUCUCUGUGUAUCAUUUUCCAGCCCUCAGAUGAGCAACUGGAAAUAAAAGCAUGGCUCUACAUCAGCAUGCUGGCAACUUGUUUUAGCUAAUGAAGCAACAGUAAAACUCAAGGAUGUUCCAAAAGAUUAAGCAGGCAUCUUUAGGCAUGAGACCCAGGUCACCUCCAUCCUGUGCACACACAUCAGAGGGAUCCAAAAAGAGAAGAGAGCACAGGCUGCUAUCUCA
RNAcentral lists this long non-coding RNA (238 nucleotides) under Zonotrichia albicollis (white-throated sparrow). RNAcentral describes it as "lncRNA (ENSZALG00000012556.1)". Lineage: Eukaryota; Metazoa; Chordata; Aves; Passeriformes; Passerellidae. The record is from RNAcentral.